Long non-coding RNA from Cryptomeria japonica (Japanese cedar), 1032 nucleotides. RefSeq lists it as uncharacterized. NCBI's taxonomy places the organism in Eukaryota, Viridiplantae, Streptophyta, Pinopsida, Cupressales, Cupressaceae. The record is from RefSeq and is a predicted model, not a curated record. The transcript has 2 exons.
GCGAACGAAGGGUCCCGCUGUACCUAGUUAAUGCAGAGUUUAGGUAAAAAGCAUUACUGUUCUGCAUCUUAAAAAUUACUGUCCUGUGAUCUUCUGUUAAAUGCUCCUUGUCGAGGUAUUCCUAUGCUCUGAAGACGUACUGUAAAUAUUUAGUCCAAAAUUUGCAAUGGCUUUUCGGAGAAAUCCUCUUAUGCACUUAAGUCGAUUCUUUUCUCCACCUCUCAUUUCUGUAAAGUUGGUUACACCAGCAAGACGAGCGCUGGAAGCGCCUUCUCUUCCUUGUUGGUUCAGGAAUUCCAAUGCUCCUCCGAAUUUACACUCAACGAUGAAAUUUUUCUGCUCUACAGGCAAUGAUUCGAGCAUGUCUCACGGUACACACGGAGCAGUUAAAGAGGGAGAAGAGAAAGAAGAUGAAGAAGAAGAAGAUGGAGAUGAAGAUGAAGAUGAAGAUGAAGAUGAGGAGGGUGGGGAGUAUGUGAAUGCGGAAACAGGGGAAAGGGGAGGGCCCAGGGGACCAGAGCCUACUAGGUACGGAGAUUGGGAGAAAGGCGGCCGCUGUUCCGAUUUUUGAUCAGGGCUGGUUAAAUUUGUUCUAGCCAGGAGCAAGGAAUGUGAAGGAACUCUGCAGCUUCUUUCUCCAAAUUGGAAUUGUAGGAAAAAAAUUGCUAAACCACCAUGUCUUCAUAAUCAUUUAGAAUUAUAUAUGGCAUUUUCUAAUGAACAUGCACGAAAAGUUUGGCAGAGCUAGAGGACCUUUGGAAUCUGCUAAAAGUCAUAUAUUCCAUUAGAGUAAUUGUAUGAUAUUUAAGAAGCCACAUAUUCUACUAAAGAAUAGAGAGGUCUUACAACAAGGCAUUUGGUCUGGAUAAUCGAAGAAAUGUAUUUGUUUGGUAAAAAGGAGCAACUGUUUGUCAACCUUCUUAUCAACAAUAUAAUCCACAUUGUGCUGUAGGAUUAAAAUGGCAAAAACACAAUUACAGGUAAAAUUGACUGAAAGGUUCAUCGAAAACAAUUUAUUAUUGGUAUUUUCUU